RNAcentral lists this ribosomal RNA (630 nucleotides) under uncultured Sphingomonas sp. RNAcentral's name for it is "bacterial SSU rRNA". It matches the Rfam family "Bacterial small subunit ribosomal RNA", at positions 95 to 760 of the family's 1533-position model. Lineage: Bacteria; Pseudomonadati; Pseudomonadota; Alphaproteobacteria; Sphingomonadales; Sphingomonadaceae. The record is from RNAcentral.
GUGGCGCACGGGUGCGUAACGCGUGGGAAUCUGCCCUUGGGUUCGGAAUAACGGAGAGAAAUUUCCGCUAAUACCGAAUGAUGACGUAAGUCCAAAGAUUUAUCGCCCAAGGAUGAGCCCGCGUAGGAUUAGCUAGUCGGUGAGGUAAAGGCUCACCAAGGCGACGAUCCUUAGCUGGUCUGAGAGGAUGAUCAGCCACACUGGGACUGAGACACGGCCCAGACUCCUACGGGAGGCAGCAGUGGGGAAUAUUGGACAAUGGGCGAAAGCCUGAUCCAGCAAUGCCGCGUGAGUGAUGAAGGCCUUAGGGUUGUAAAGCUCUUUUACCCGGGAUGAUAAUGACAGUACCGGGAGAAUAAGCUCCGGCUAACUCCGUGCCAGCAGCCGCGGUAAUACGGAGGGAGCUAGCGUUGUUCGGAAUUACUGGGCGUAAAGCGCACGUAGGCGGCUUUGCAAGUUAGAGGUGAAAGCCUGGGGCUCAACCCCAGAAUUGCCUUUAAGACUGCAUCGCUAGAAUCCAGAAGAGGUGAGUGGAAUUCCGAGUGUAGAGGUGAAAUUCGUAGAUAUUCGGAAGAACACCAGUGGCGAAGGCGGCUCACUGGUCUGGUAUUGACGCUGAGGUGCGAAAGC